This 384-nucleotide long non-coding RNA is filed under the name Androctonus crassicauda. The record is from RNAcentral. Lineage: Eukaryota; Metazoa; Arthropoda; Arachnida; Scorpiones; Buthidae.
CAAGAUGAUUGGUGAUUAUGCAUAAUCACCAAUUAAUCAUUUUUACCAUAACAUAUAUAGUAUAUUGAUAGGCAUUUAACCUAUAAUUCAGAAUGAAUCUUCUUGCAGGGCCAUCAUCAGACGGCCCUGAAAGAAGAUUGAAAAUGUUAGUCAAAUAGUAUUUUAAUUUUUGUAGUCUUGAUCUAUUUUUUGAAUUACUAGUUACAAUUAUAAAGAAACAGAAGAAUGCAAAGGAAAAAGACUACACUGGUCUGCAACCAAAAAACUGCAUAGGAUUUUUUGACUGUUUCUUAUAGAUUUUUACUCACUGAAACCAGGAAAAAUAUUUAAAAUUUUCCAUCACAUCAGGUUUCCUUGCAAAACUCAAGUAUUUAGUGUAAUUAA